RNAcentral lists this ribosomal RNA (483 nucleotides) under uncultured bacterium. RNAcentral's name for it is "partial 16S ribosomal RNA". It matches the Rfam family "Bacterial small subunit ribosomal RNA", at positions 28 to 523 of the family's 1533-position model. The record is from RNAcentral.
GACGAACGCUGGCGGCGUGCUUAACACAUGCAAGUCGAACGAUGAAGCUGGAGCUUGCUCCGGUGGAUUAGUGGCGAACGGGUGAGUAACACGUGAGCAAUCUGCCCUUGACUCUGGGAUAACUGCGGGAAACUGUAGCUAAUACCGGAUACGACACCUUGGGGCAUCCCGGGGUGUGGAAAGAAUUUCGGUCAAGGAUGAGCUCGCGGCCUAUCAGCUGGUUGGUGAGGUAAAGGCUCACCAAGGCGACGACGGGUAGCCGGCCUGAGAGGGUGACCGACCACACUGGAACUGGAACACGGUCCAGACUCCUACGGGAGGCAGCAGUGGGGAAUAUUGCACAAUGGGCGAAAGCCUGAUGCAGCAACGCCGCGUGAGGGAUGACGGCCUUCGGGUUGUAAACCUCUUUUAGCAGGGAAGAAGCGAAAGUGACGGUACCUGCAGAAAAAGCACCGGCUAACUACGUGCCAGCAGCCGCCGUAA